AGCAGCCGCGGUAAUUCCAGCUCCAAUAGCGUAUAUUAAAGUUGUUGCAGUUAAAAAGCUCGUAGUUGAAUUUCGGGACCAGUGGGUUGGUCAUGCCACUGGUAUGUACUGGCUUUACUGAUUCCUCCUUCUUGAAGAACUGUAAUGCCAUUAAUUUGGUGUUGCAGGGAAACAGGACUGUUACUUUGAAAAAUUAGAGUGUUUAAAGCAGGCUCGCGCUUGAAUACAUUAGCAUGGAAUAAUGAAAUAGGACGUUCGAUCCUAUUUUGUUGGUUUCUAGGAUUGACGUAAUGAUUAAUAGGGAUAGUUGGGGGCAUUAGUAUUCAAUUGUCAGAGGUGAAAUUCUUGGAUUUAUUGAAGACUAACUACUGCGAAAGCAUUUGCCAAGGAUGUUUUCAUUAAUCAAGAACGAAAGUUAGGGGAUCGAAGACGAUCAGAUACCGUCGUAGU
This 450-nucleotide ribosomal RNA is filed under the name uncultured Glomeromycotina. Its description in RNAcentral is "SSU rRNA". It matches the Rfam family "Eukaryotic small subunit ribosomal RNA", at positions 569 to 1024 of the family's 1831-position model. Lineage: Eukaryota; Fungi; Glomeromycota. The record is from RNAcentral.